This 3071-nucleotide long non-coding RNA is filed under the name Homo sapiens (human). RNAcentral's name for it is "PREDICTED lncRNA (TCONS_00027993)". The record is from RNAcentral. Lineage: Eukaryota; Metazoa; Chordata; Mammalia; Primates; Hominidae.
CACGUUUAUUGCAGCACUGUUUACAAUAGCAAAGACAUGGAACCAACCCAAAUGCCCAUCAAUGAUAGACUGGAUAAAGAAAAUGUAGUACAUAUGCACCAUGGAAUACUAUGCAGCCACAAAAAGGAAUGAGAUCAUGUCCUUUCCAGGGACGUGGAUGAAGCUGGAAGCCAUCACCUUCAAAAAACUAACAUAGGAACAGAAAACCAAACACUGCAUAUUCUCACUAAGACGGGGUUUCGCCAUGUGGUCUAGUCUGGUCUUGAACUCCUGAGCUCAAGCAAUCUGCCCGCCUCAGCCUCCCAAAGUGCUGGGAUUACAGAUGUGAGCCACCAUGCCCAGCCUAUUCUUGUCAUAUUCUAAAUUGUGCUCUAGAUGUGUAAGAUACAUGGUCUCAGCCAAGCACUUAAUGACAUUUUUGGUAGUUGCUGGGUUGUCCAGCGGCCUCCUUAGCCCAGAACUUCAUCACAGGUGUUUGUUUUUUGUUUUUUUUUUUUUUUUUGAGAUGAAGCUACUUUGUUCCCUUUACUUCAAAGGCACAGAUCUUAUUCUCUAAGUGCCCCUAAGGAGUUUCACCAGUAGGGCUGGAAGCAGUUGGGUUUUUCUCUCAGCAACCCCUGUACCUCUAAUGCAGAAAGGGUUACCUGUUCCCACCAAAACUUUCAGCAGCCUUCAGGCCUGCAGCUUUUUUCCGUGAGUCCCUCCUUCCCUUCUAUCCUAAAGGCUUCAUGCAUUUUUUUUGCUGCUGAUCCUCACCCCAAAUACAACUGAUGUAAAUAGCCAAUUCAAAGCUGCCAUUUGUAGUCCCCUUUUUUCUCCCCAUGUUACUUGGUGGCUCCUAGUGCCAAUUAGUACGGCAAAGUGGCGGGAUAUGUCUACGUAAACACAUGAAGAUGUCAGUGUUGCUGAAGGAGUAUGCCAAACUGUUUCAGGAUAUUUUUCAGAAAAGACUCUGAAAGGCAUAUGUUAUCAUUUAGUCAGAUGGUGGCAAACCCUUAUUAAAUGUAUCAACACUUUUAUCAGGUCACAAUAUUUUCCCAAUCAUCUUCCCUGCAAGAAGAAACAAAUCUCGAUUACUUGGGAACAGCAAUUCAUUUUCUCCUUAUCCUCCUUUUUUUCUAUUAUGUGACUUUCAGGUCUACCACUGAUCUGCAACAUAACUUUCCUUAUAGGCAGGAAACCAGCAAACUGGGUAGGCACCAGGUCAGUCAAUUGUUCUUAUGUCUAAAGGUUUGAUGGAAUGAGGGGAAGCCACAAUAUGCCACCUCAGAAUAUACUUCUUUGGCAUAUUUCAAGUUGAUUAUUCUGAGAACUGCAGGCAGGAAUAGCUCUGAAAAGCUGUCCAUUUCUAAAGGAAAUUUACAUCUAUCCACCUUACUAAACAGAGGAUGCAAGCAGAGGUUUCUCUCUGAAGGCCCUUUAUCUGCCUAAAGAAAGAUAAAGCUCUGACACCUCCCUAAAACAGAGACUACCACAGGCAGUCACCUAUUCUUCUGAUAGCUGUUGCCUAAGAGAUUUCAUUUGCACAAGACAGCCUUUGCUUACCAUGCAAAGUUGCUCACCAUCCAUCUAGGCAGAGUGGGGCAAGCCAAGCAGCAUUCAUCAAGUGGAAGUGGAGCUUAUGGGAUCUGAAGCAGCAGUCCCUAAAGGCCCGUCCACACAAACUACAUACGUAAGUUGCUCAUACUUCCAGCAUGUCCACUUGUUAUAAUAUUGCCCUUCAUUUAGUAUAUACCCAACACCCAACAUAUUUCAAUGUCAGGGCUUCAAGUAACCACCUGGUCAUUUGUCAGAUUUUGUUUGUCUAACAGUCUUUCCCACAAUUUCCUUUGAAUAAAUUACCUCUCCUUUCACAUUUAGUCUUGAUGAAUCAGUAAACCCAGCUGCUUUGCCUCAAACCAUUUAAGCCGAAGUAGUUCCUGUAGAGUCCUCUCAAAGCUCCAAGACUGCCAGGGGUGAUUUCUGACCUAGGUUUGCACACUCACGUCCAGGCAUUUAAAUCUUGAAUGGGCAUUUUAAGCAGCUGGAGUUAAUUUAAUCCAUGAUGAAUAAAAGCAAGAUUAUUGAGCAAUUUCUGCUUAAAAAAAUCUUCGGGAGCUAAGUUUCUAUCCUGAGUCUGGUUCUUUAGCUUCCGUUUGAUCUUAUAUCCUUCAAAUAAAUUCUUUAUUGCUUAGGUUAGCUAGAGUUGGUUGCUACAAACAGAAUCCUAACUGGUAUUCUUUGUAAGUCUAUGACUAUGGCCUAACAGAUGACCCUCAUCUCCCUUAGACAUGACUGCAAGUGAUUUUGUUUUACUGGAUAUAGCCAAUCCCCUAUUUGAGUUAUCUUGGCCAUUCUUUGAAUUUCUGGAAACUGUGUAUUUUCAGAACAGUGAGAUAUACACCACUGUGUUCUAGUUUCAGUUCCAAAUUUGCAUGUCAGUAACUUAUUUCAAUGUUUUGGCUUUAGGGUUUUUUUUUUUUUUUUUUGUAGAGACAGGGUCUCACUAUGUCACCCAGUCUGGAGUGCAAUGGCACAAUAUCAGUUCACUGCAAUUUUCACCUCCUAGGCUCAAGUGAUCCUCCCCAGCAGCUGGGACUACAGGUGCACUUGGCUUUAGUUUUACAACUGAAUUGUCAUGGUUUACAAACCUGUGUCCCUGAUGCAUCCCACACCCAAUACUAACAUUCACUGUUACCUAUUUUAAAAGCACAAAAGCUAGUAUUUGAAAGUAUUCUCAUGCAGGUUUAUGACUGUAAAUAUUAGACGAUUACAAAAAUAUAAUCCCACUUCAGUGUUUUAGUAAUGAGACCCUUAUCGGCCAUUAAUAAAUAGUAUAAAUUUUACACCAGGGUAACUGGGAUGUUUUCUGUUUCUUCUCACAUUGCUAAGUGGUUUUAGGUUUGAUAUCAUCUGCACACAGCAUCUGUGUCAUAUAUGACAAUCACAUUUUAGUCAAUUAUGUUAGAAGCUCAUAUUUAAUAAGGUUCAAGUUCUCCUCAAUAUGAUUUUCAUUAACAUCAUGAUUUAGGCAGAAUGUUUUCCUAUACAUGUAAAUAAAGAGAACUUUAGCUUUAAAAAAAAGAUUAGAG